UACGGGGGGAGCAAGCGUUGUUCGGAUUUACUGGGCGUAAAGGGCGCGUAGGCGGCGCCGCAAGUCACUUGUGAAAUCUCCGGGCUCAACUCGGAACGGUCAAGUGAUACUGCGGUGCUAGAGUGCGGAAGGGGCAACUGGAAUUCUUGGUGUAGCGGUGAAAUGCGUAGAUAUCAAGAGGAACACCUGCGGCGAAGGCGGGUUGCUGGGCCGACACUGACGCUGAGGCGCGAAAGCGUGGGGAGCGAACAGG
This 253-nucleotide ribosomal RNA is filed under the name uncultured bacterium. RNAcentral's name for it is "partial 16S ribosomal RNA". It matches the Rfam family "Bacterial small subunit ribosomal RNA", at positions 524 to 776 of the family's 1533-position model. The record is from RNAcentral.